This 135-nucleotide non-coding RNA is filed under the name Postia placenta Mad-698-R. Lineage: Eukaryota; Fungi; Basidiomycota; Agaricomycetes; Polyporales; Adustoporiaceae. The record is from RNAcentral.
UGUUCGUCCUGGCGCAGACCUUUCCGUGGUCCUCGGGAUAAGUACCCUCCGGCUCAAGAAAGGCGUAUCAGCGCCCAAUACAUGUAUCAUGUAUUGGGUCCUGAUACGCUGUCGGUAGGGGAAACCAACAUGCGC